CUAUGGUGGUACAUAUGGUCAAGACUGUGGACUUAGUUGUGGAGCUUGUCUCGGAUAUAAGCAAUGUCACCACAUCAAUGGUUCUUGUCCUGAGGGUUGUGAUGCUGGAUAUGAGGGAUAUUUUUGUAAUAUAGAUUGUCCACUAGGACGAUUUGGAAUAAACUGUGAAAGAUUCUGUAGUGAACAUUGUGGAGUAUCUAAUAUAUGCAACGGAAUAACAGGACAAUGCGAAAGAGGAUGUAAACCGGGCUGGAGGGGCUUUCAAUGUAAUGAAGAAUGUGAUGGUAAAAGGUAUGGACAAGACUGUGGAGAGAAAUGUGGAACCUGUCUGGGAUAUAAACAAUGUAAUCACAUCAAUGGUUCAUGUACUGAAGGCUGCGAUGCUGGAUUUAUGGGAGAGCUCUGUA
This is a long non-coding RNA of Saccostrea cuccullata (small rock oyster), 407 nucleotides long. RefSeq lists it as uncharacterized. The record is from RefSeq and is a predicted model, not a curated record. The transcript has 3 exons. Lineage: Eukaryota; Metazoa; Mollusca; Bivalvia; Ostreida; Ostreidae.